AAAUAGCUGGGUUUGGGAGCCCACAGAAAGCCUCUUCAGAACCACCUGGUUGGUUGGGGUCUGGGAGAAGGUAUCCAUUUUUAUCACCCCUGUUGUUUCCAAAAUCCAGCCAAGACCUGGCUAGAUAUAUCAGGAAGCCUGUUAUUCCUGAGGUUACAACGGUAGUCUCCAGUGCCCUGCAAACCCUCAAUGAAAGACACAGCCUGCUUUCAAAGAAUUAAAACGGCUCAACUUCAAAGAGCGGCGUUGCUUAGAGUCACCUGGUGCCACUGUCUCGGUGCCUCCUGUCUGGAGAGAGUCUGGGAGCCGCUGCUUACCACCAUCUCCUGCCCUCCUAACCCGUCGCUGGUUACAUUACGGAAUGGUGGCUGCUACAUGCAGUUUUAGAUCAAUCUACUAUAGUCAUGCUGCCCUGAGACCCAAAUAAUUCCUCUGUGAACUCUGGACACUCCGAAGGUAAAAAUCUCACUUGUUUAUCUUUUUAGAAAAUAGUUAUACUUGCGCCCCUUCUUCCACCCCAGCCCUGGACAACUCAUGUAAAAUCAACUGUGAGAUAAAUAAAAUGAGGAGUCAUUUUAUUAAAGAUCUAGGAAAAGUGCUCAGGUGAUCUGAAAAUGUAAUUAAACCUCUAAAUAAGCGGAUUACUGGCUGAAAAGUGAGAUUGAUAGAUGAACCCCUUCAGCUAAAAAGGAUUGCUUAAUGGACUGAACAACAGUCUUGGACUCUCUCCACCUUGGAAUCGCAGGUCCAGAAUCGGGCAGGCUCCACGCCACCACUUCCCCUCCUAAGACAAAUGAAGCUCCACGAGGCUGCUGUGAGGAGGGCCCAGAGGGGAGACCCCAGGAUGCAUGUGGACGCACAGAUGUGCCACCUGCCUUGUAAAAAUAGCCAAAGACACCCAGAGCACUGUUUCUGGGGGCUCCUCCUGGCUUAUCAUCCAAAAGACCUGAAGACCUUGGUAGUUCCAAAAGGUUAAAUUCACUUCUGACUUUUCGAAAAGAAGAUAUUAAUGGCAAAAUGAAGAGCUGAAAAUGAAGUUAAAAGCUUCGGUAGGACAAAAUAAGCUAAAACAAUGAAGAAUUACCUCCUGUAAUUGUACUUCUACCAUCAAGAGGAAGAGAGAGAAUUCUUUCUUCCUCACUGGCAAACAGGACAAGCUUUCUGACUCCUUUUAUUCUGAAGGUGGUCUUGGUGUGAAUUUUUGGUAACAUAAAAUUUGUCCCCAAUUCUAUGAAGUUGAUAUAUUCCAAGUUUAAAUAUUUGGAAUAUUUUGGAUUUAUCCUCUUGGUUUUCUGCUUUGUUUAAUUUAUAAGCUGAAAUUAAAGGAGCCGUUCUUUGUAGAACUUCAUAACAUUUCCAGAAACCGGCAGAGUCAAAACAUAAUGUCUUUUCUUUGAUAGUGAUAGGAGUUCCGUAACCUACAUGAGCCAUUCAAUUUAUCCUAAGAUAGCAGCAGUCCUGACUCUGGAGCAGAUGGACAAACAUGAAGCUCUGUUAGUUUGCUGCUAUUGGUCAUCUAGCUGUCUUUGCUGUCAGGACUAAAGAUCAGUCUUUAAGCUAACAUCUCACUGGUAAACUAACUCUCAGUAUGAUUGAGUCCACAACAUUUACUGUCAGCCCAGAGAAGGUAGCCUAGUGGAUACCCCUUGGUGAAACCCAAGUUUCUAACUUAGUUUUGCAGAAAAAAUCAUCACUGUCUCUCAAACUAUGAAAGGUAGAAUUCUGUCAUCCUCUCACUUUUGGAAGAGGGCAAGGGCAGAGUCCUUAUUCCUGUCUAAAUCCAUGAGGGAUAUAUCCUGGAGGUCCGUGACCACUCGUGGAGUUUAGCUAGUGAAUAAAUAGCACUUUACUUCUUGGUGAUGAUACAUGUGAAAAAAAUAAACCUAAAACAUACAGGUCAUUUUACAAUCACAGAUUCAACCUAGGAUAAAGGAUUACUUUGAUUUUAAAGUCUAUUUAUGCUCCUGGAGCUCAUCAUCAAGUAAAUUAGUAUUUCCCAUAGCACCCCAGUCUCUUUGGAUUAAAGUAACUCACCAAUUCAUUUGAUUCCCCAGAUACUCAUUUGUUUUCAUUUGGGUUCCAUGUUCUUUUUCUUAUCUCCUUAUGAACUCUGGGAGAAUGACUUAACAUAUGAUUAGUUUCCAGACUGCGUACUCCCUGGUGGUUCAGAUGGUAAAGAACCUGCCUGCUGUAUAGGAGAUCCGGGUUCAAUCCCUGAGUCAGGAAGAUCCCCUGGAGAAGGGAAUGGCAACCCACUCCAGAAUUCCAGCCUGAAGAAUUCCAUGGAUAGAGGAACCUGGUGGGCUACAGUUCAUGGAAUCACAAAGAGUCAGACAUGACUGAGCGACUAACACUUUCACUUUCACAGGAGUCUGUGGUCUUAAGUAAGUACCCCAGACCAUCUAUGGAAUGUACCUUUCUCACUGAUACUUGUCCCAGUGUAAACCCAUCAGGACUGGGGGGUAAAGUUACUUAAAAAAAAAAAAAAACCUGAAGAGAUCAAGAACUGGACAAAUGAGCUUCCUUGUUUUCAUAUAAAUUUGUUUCAUUUCCAGUCAAAAUGAAGCCUUUCGAGUGAACAGCCUGUCUAGUUGCUGCAGAGAUCUUUUACAGUAUUACUGAGUUAAAUGCAUAUAAUCAUAGAAAAUUGGCCUGAUUCAACUGAAAUCUGGAAAAAGAAUAAUCCCUUAUACUUUCAUUUUCUUAAACUGUUCUUUUUUUCUGACCGUGCCUCACAGCUUGCAGGAUCUUAGUUUCCUGACAGAGACUGAACCCAGGCCCUUGGCAGUGCAAACCCAGAGUCCAAACCACUAGACUGCCAGGAAAUUCCCCUUCUUAACAUCAACUUUCUAAAAUGUA
Long non-coding RNA from Bos grunniens (domestic yak), 2859 nucleotides. Lineage: Eukaryota; Metazoa; Chordata; Mammalia; Artiodactyla; Bovidae. The record is from Ensembl.